This 320-nucleotide long non-coding RNA is filed under the name Brachypodium distachyon (stiff brome). RNAcentral's name for it is "long non-coding RNA (BDIS_LNC005542)". The record is from RNAcentral. Lineage: Eukaryota; Viridiplantae; Streptophyta; Magnoliopsida; Poales; Poaceae.
CAGCUAAGGAGGUUGCCGGAGAAGCCCCCGAUGCCGAGGAUGCCCCUGACACCGACGCAGCCGCCCCGGGUGCACCCCCCGCGUAGUUUCCUUCCUUCUCUUUUUUUUUCUUGCAAGUAGCGCAUGGCGCCUUAGAACUUUUUUUAUGUUAGCUUUCCCUAGUCAUUACCAGUGUUACUCGUUAACUCGUUUUGCUCAAGCUUCAAUAUUUAUCCGAUGCUAUUUUUACUUGCUCCUUUGCCUAAAACUAGCUUGCCGGGGAGGGGCUCUGUCCUUCCCGUGUUUUAGCCUUGCGUACCCGGGGACUCGCCAACCACAUG